Molecule: ribosomal RNA, 403 nt
Filed under: uncultured bacterium
Lineage: Bacteria
Description: partial 16S ribosomal RNA
Rfam family: Bacterial small subunit ribosomal RNA
Source: RNAcentral
AUUGAACGCUGGCGGCAGGCCUAACACAUGCAAGUCGAGCGAGCGGCGGACGGGUGAGUAAUGUAUGGGGACUGCCUGAUGGCGGGGGAUAAAUACUGGAAACGGUAGCAAAUAGAGAAUACCAUGAGAUAACACAUAUGGGCUUAGCUAGUUGGUGGGGUAACGGCUUACCUAGGCGACGCUCCCUAGCUGGUCUGAGAGGAUGAUCAGCCACACUGGGACUUAGACACGGCCCAGACUCCUACGGAGGCAGCAGUGGGGAAUAUUGCACAAUGGGCGCAAGCCUGAUGCAGCCAUGCCGCGUGUAUGAAGAAGGCCUUCGGGUUGUAAAGUACUUUCAGCCGGGAGGCGUUACCGACAGAAGAAGCACCGGCUAACUCCGUGCCAGCAGCCGCGGUAAUUC